Molecule: non-coding RNA, 78 nt
Filed under: bovine gut metagenome
Description: Cyclic di-GMP-I riboswitch
Rfam family: c-di-GMP-I riboswitch aptamer
About the family: GEMM was predicted in a large-scale screen for bacterial structured RNA regulatory elements. Genes associated with GEMM are involved in a diverse array of functions, including chemotaxis regulation, signal transduction, secretion and chitin.
Source: RNAcentral
UAAAGGGCAAACUUAUAGAAAUGUAAGGACGCAAAACUAGAAGUCUACGGUAUAUAUUACAUAGAUAGUUCGGUUGCA